Molecule: long non-coding RNA, 892 nt
Organism: Myotis davidii
Lineage: Eukaryota; Metazoa; Chordata; Mammalia; Chiroptera; Vespertilionidae
Exons: 2
Source: RefSeq, a predicted model, not a curated record
UGACACCGUGUGCACCGCGGGAGGGAGGAAGGGAGGGAUGUUAUGCAGGUUCCCAGGAUGACACACCGCAAGGUUUCAGGGCGCGACCAGCUCGCUGCGGGGCCCACGGGGUUGUGUUUGUUUACCCCGCGCCGCCUGGAAGGAGGCCGGGCAGCUACAAUGGACACCAAACGAAUAGCAGAGAGGAGAACAGGGGGUAGACGCCACCGAACAGAUGGAUGGGAAGACCGAGGUCGAGGGCCGGCGACCUGAGCGGAGCUCCCUGAUGCUCCGCGGAGACCCAAGCCAGUGCUUUUCCAUACAGUAGACGGGGGCGUGGGCUCAUCUGGAACCAACCUCGGAUUCCCCACUCCGUUUCCCGUGUUGCUUCUGGAAACCCACCUGUAGAAUGCAAGUCAGGGAGCACCCAGAGCGGACAAACAGCCAGUGAGAGGAAUGGGAAAAGUGGCGAGGGAAGACCGAGGGUUCUUCACGUCUGGUGAAUUACUAUUGUGAAUAGGUUUUUUUUGUUUGUUUUGUUUUUUUUAAGACACCCACACCAAGGAGAAUGGGUUUAGAGUGCUAGUGUUUAGAAACUCCCAUGACUUCGUGGAGAUUUUAAGGCAUUUUUCAUUAUAGAAAAUUGAGAAAAUGCCGAAAAGUAAGACGAGGAAAACAAAAAUCCCAAAUUCUGCCGCUCAAAGAGAUGAUCAUUUUAGUUUCCUUUCAGUCUUUAUUCCUACUUUGUGUAUUUGUUUUUAUAUUUAUACUUUUUCCUCUUUCCCCUGUAUAUGUAAUAUGGUAGCCUUUUUUUUUUCACUUUAUGUUCUGUUGCAAGCACUUAUGUCAUUACAAAAUCCUUCACGUUUCCCACAUUAAAUAUGUAACCUAAUAAAAAUUAACUGUCUAACUA